RNAcentral lists this ribosomal RNA (465 nucleotides) under uncultured bacterium. RNAcentral's name for it is "partial 16S ribosomal RNA". It matches the Rfam family "Bacterial small subunit ribosomal RNA", at positions 28 to 507 of the family's 1533-position model. The record is from RNAcentral.
GACGAACGCUGGCGGCGUGCUUAACACAUGCAAGUCGAACGGAAAGGCCCUGCUUGCAGGGUACUCGAGUGGCGAACGGGUGAGUAACACGUGGGUGAUCUGCCCUGCACUUCGGGAUAAGCCUGGGAAACUGGGUCUAAUACCGGAUAGGAGCCCCUUUUAGUGUGAUGGUUGGAAAGUUUUUUCGGUGUAGGAUGAGCUCGCGGCCUAUCAGCUUGUUGGUGGGGUAAUGGCCUACCAAGGCGGCGACGGGUAGCCGGCCUGAGAGGGUGGACGGCCACAUUGGGACUGAGAUACGGCCCAGACUCCUACGGGAGGCAGCAGUGGGGAAUAUUGCACAAUGGGCGCAAGCCUGAUGCAGCGACGCCGCGUGGGGGAUGACGGCCUUCGGGUUGUAAACUCCUUUCGCUAGGGACGAAGCUUUUUGUGACGGUACCUAGAUAAGAAGCACCGGCUAACUACGUG